This 612-nucleotide unclassified non-coding RNA is filed under the name Hevea brasiliensis (rubber tree). The record is from RNAcentral. Lineage: Eukaryota; Viridiplantae; Streptophyta; Magnoliopsida; Malpighiales; Euphorbiaceae.
UGUUGUAGGACUAGCUUUUUUGUACAUAAUUCUUGUUUAUUUUAAUCCCAUUUGAGAUUUAAUAUGAUAAAUUCUUCUAAGAUGACUUGGAGAACACUGUCAUAGAAAGAUAUUUUAUUGCCAAUGAUUUUCUUGUUCAACUAUCUAAAAAAGUGUAUUGGCAAUGGCAUUCAUGUAUUCACAUUAAGCAGGCAAUUUAGGUGUUAUUUUACUAGCAGAGCUAAAUAAAUUAUUCAAGGACUAAAUGUAUAAUAUUUCUUUGGCUUUAGAUUCCAUCUUACUAGUAAGGAAAGAACCAUAAUGGUUUGAACAAAAUGUUCCCUUAGAGAUCUCUGAUGUGCCCAUUUCACUAGCAGCUAACUGGUAGCGUGGAGUCCUUGAAAAAGUGAAAAGCAGAAUAAGCAAAUGGUUUGUAUCAAAGAUCAAUGAAGACGCUCAAUUUAUUAUGUUAACAAUUCUUCUAUCCUCAAACAAAAUACUGUCAUAUGAGCAAUAAUCUUAUUUCAUUGCAUUUCCAACACUGGUAUCUUUCAAUGUUUCACUGAAACCUAACUCAAUGAUUGGCGUUCUCUGUUAGAUUAAGUAAAUUUUUAUGGAGUUUGUUGGCAACUG